This is a long non-coding RNA of Triticum aestivum (bread wheat), 418 nucleotides long. RefSeq lists it as uncharacterized. The transcript has 3 exons. Lineage: Eukaryota; Viridiplantae; Streptophyta; Magnoliopsida; Poales; Poaceae. The record is from RefSeq and is a predicted model, not a curated record.
AGGUAGAAGAUAGCGACAGAGUUUGAAGGUAUGUGCAAAGAUCUUCUCCUCCGUCGCCGUCCGCGACAAAGCUGUUGGGUGCAUCCGUCCAUCAUCUUUAGAUCUGAGUGAAGAGGGCAUCCGUCCAUCUCAAAAGGAUAUGGAUGACCAUCUGAAGGUAUGCAGGUUUCUUCCCAAACUUAACGACGAGAUACUAGGUGAAAGAAAUGCUCUCUACAAGGAAAGGUUGACCAGCCUAGAGAAUUUAGUACUGAUCAUGAGGUGAUCGACGCAGACUACCGCGACCCGGUGGGCGUCGUGCUCUUCAACAACUCGGAGGCGGACUUUGCUGUGAAGCCCGGCGACUGCGUCACACAGAUGAUUGUCCAGGUGAUUGCGAUGCCGGAGGUCGCCGAGGUGGAGGACCUUGACGUCACCG